AUAACAAGAAAGUAACAGUUGUAAACAAAGAAAACAAUUAAAAUGUGUCAAAAGACCUAUAACAUUUAUCCCUGCAAAAACAGGAAUAACUAUCACAACAAUGAUGAAAACAAUGAAGAAUUCCAAAGGUAAAAGAACAGUGUCAACAAACCUUGUUGUACUCCGUAUCAACAAAUAUACAGAAUAGAGAUCAAUAAAGUGAAUGCAAACAAAGCAACAAAAUAAGUUGACAGUAUGUACAAAAUUUAUAAAACAAGAGUAAAUUCAUUGAAUAGUGAAGCAAUAUAUACAAGUAAGAAGGAAAGAAAAAUAAUCAAAAACACAAUUAAAUGAAGAACAAUGUAAACAUUACGAAAAGCAUUUGUUAAGAAACCAGCUGCAGAUUGUAUGUCAAAUCGACAUAAUUUUGUGCUAAAGAAAGUAAAAAGUCUGAACAAAUUCAACAACUGACUAUUUGACCUUUGUUCAAAGCGAUGUUUGUCGAUUGAAUGACUGAACAAUUUUAACUCAAUCACCACAUAGCUUAGUCUCGAUCAUCCAGCCGCUUUAUUUUUCAAAGUAGAGCGUCUGGAUGACAAGUGAUAUAAAAAUGGUAAUUUAUGACCUUCGGAAUAGUAUCGGCUUUUUUAGCCUGUUGUCAAAGAUAAUGUCCAAGACGAAUAACCAAGAAGUUGGUUAUUGACUUCGGAAGAAAUGACAUUACGAUAAUAUUAUUGAAAAGCCCGAGUGAACCGAUUGUUGUUUAAAGCUAUUUAUAUAUUUUUGUGACGACAUACAAUUCAUGGAAAACACCAUACAGCAUGGCUUACAUGGGCAUGGACGCGAAGGAAAAACCAGCACAUCCAACCUUGGUAAGAUCAUAAAGAUGUUAUAACAACACACACUGUAACAUAAAUUGCAUAUGCAACCUGAUACACCGAGUAGUUAUAUUCUUUCAUGCAUGUCCGUGCAACGAUAACGAAUUUAUAAUUAUACAAUUAAGUUGACUGGGACAACUCGAACAGUCGUAUACGUUAUAAAUACAUUUUGGGUUGAUGUGUAGUAUCGUUAACUUUAUAAAUACUUGAUGUAAAACUUCUAUUACGCCGACAUAGCACCUUCAUCCAAGAUAAGUUUGUUUAUAUAUCUAAAUAAGGGAGCCUGCAUCUUGAUAUGUGUAAAAAAAGGGGGGAGGUGGAGAGAUACACAAUGUUGUACACAUUCAAAGAAGAUGCCAUUUUUUACAUAGUACACUAAAAGGUCAAAAUGAUUUAUACAUUCGAUUUUCUGCAAAACAAAAGACAGUGGAACAAUAUUUUCAGCAUCAAUGAAAAGAGGUGUCAAUGACUGCGACAGCAACCAGUGAACGGAAUGACAUAAAUUACCAAAUGUAGACAUCAUCAUGAUUAAGAGAUUAUCAUCUAGACUAAAACAAAAAGUGAAGAUAAAAUUGCCAAAAGCUCAACAUUUCACAAAUUAAGAGAUGUGGUAUGAAUACCAAUGAGAACUAUCCACCCAAGUUCAAAUGAAUUGGAUGUCAGAGGCGGAUUUAGAGGGGGGCCCAGGGGGCCCGGGCCCCCCCUUUUUGGGAAAAAAUUUGGUUGCUUAUAUAGGGAAUCACUGAAGCGUGACUGGAGCGGGCCCCCUCUAAGGUCAGUCAGUGGGCCCCCACUUAUGAAAAUUUCUGGAUCCGCCACUGGAUGUGAGCAGCCUUCAACAAUAAAAACAUCCAUGCAUGGUUUGGAUAGAGAAUACAAACAGGGAGUGUGUCAAAGAGACACUGGGUAACCCGAUCAAACAACAGUAAACAGCCCAAUGCCACCAAUGGGUCGGGUCUUCAACAAAGCAAGAUAAUCUUGCACCCUGAAGUGGGAUUUAACUUGCACCAGGACAAUAAUUUAUAAAAUAUAUUUCUAUGAUGGGUUUUUUAAACAAUUUGUUUUUCAUAUAUAUGCUAUGCUGGUGACUAAAAAUUGAUAUGAUUUUAAUAUUUACUUUCUUUUGUAGACAAACCAAAAAUGAUUUAUGGACACAGAUUUUAUGUGUAAAAUGUGACGAAUUAAAACAAAAAUGUAAUAUUAAGGAUUUUGAUUGUAUCAUAAACAUGCUUCAAUUUUAUUAGAACAAGAUUCAAACUGAAAGAUUUUUUUUUUAAUUACUGAUGCAUCAAUCAGUAUAAAUAGAUCAUAGAACCAAAAAUGUUGGGAUUAUUUUGACAGCCGCCACAAAGCGAGAGAAAAAAAUACACAGAC
Molecule: long non-coding RNA, 2231 nt
Filed under: Mytilus galloprovincialis (Mediterranean mussel)
Lineage: Eukaryota; Metazoa; Mollusca; Bivalvia; Mytilida; Mytilidae
Source: RNAcentral